UAGUUUGAUCCUGGCUCGAGGCACGAACGCUGAGCGGCGUGCCUAAUACAUGCAAGUCGAGCGGACAGAUGGGAGCUUGCUCCCUGAUGUUAGCGGCGGACGGGUGAGUAACACGUGGGUAACUUGCCUGUAAGACUGGGAUAACUCCGGGAAACCGGGGCUAAUACCGGAUGGUUGUUUGAACCGCAUGGUUCAAACAUAAAAGGUGGCUUCGGCUACCACUUACAGAUGGACCCGCGGCGCAUUAGCUAGUUGGUGAGGUAAUGGCUCACCAAGGCGACGAUGCGUAGCCGACCUGAGAGGGUGAUCGGCCACACUGGGACUGAGACACGGCCCAGACUCCUACGGGAGGCAGCAGUAGGGAAUCUUCCGCAAUGGACGAAAGUCUGACGGAGCAACGCCGCGUGAGUGAUGAAGGUUUUCGGAUCGUAAAGCUCUGUUGUUAGGGAAGAACAAGUACCGUUCGAAUAGGGCGGUACCUUGACGGUACCUACCCAAAAAGCCACGGCUAACUACGUGCCAGCAGCCGCGGUAAUACGUAGGUGGCAAGCGUUGUCCGGAAUUAUUGGGCGUAAAGGGCUCGCAGGCGGUUUCUUAAGUCUGAUGUGAAAGCCCCCGGCUCAACCGGGGAGGGUCAUUGGAAACUGGGGAACUUGAGUGCAGAAGAGGAGAGUGGAAUUCCACGUGUAGCGGUGAAAUGCGUAGAGAUGUGGAGGAACACCAGUGGCGAAGGCGACUCUCUGGUCUGUAACUGACGCUGAGGAGCGAAA
RNAcentral lists this ribosomal RNA (770 nucleotides) under Bacillus subtilis. RNAcentral describes it as "bacterial SSU rRNA". It matches the Rfam family "Bacterial small subunit ribosomal RNA", at positions 9 to 758 of the family's 1533-position model. Lineage: Bacteria; Bacillati; Bacillota; Bacilli; Caryophanales; Bacillaceae. The record is from RNAcentral.